CCACCUUCCCACCUGCUGCAGGGAGGGCCCUCGGCUGAGCCUUCAGACACACUUGCACCCCAUCCGCUCCCCUCCUGAACUUCUUCUGACCCUCCCUUGGCUUCACAGCACCUGAAGGCCAGGCUGAGGCCCCCUGCUCUCAUGGCCAGCCCUGGAAAGCCUGGGGCUGAUGAGGCCCAGGAGGAGGAGGGGGAACUCGAGGGGGGCUCUGCAGGGCCGCGGGCUGCAAUACUGGAGCAGGCUGAGGAGCUGUUUCUGCUGUGUGACAAGGAGGCUAAGGGCUUCAUCACCAAGCACGACCUGCAGGUGAGUCCCCCGCCCCAAGAGACUGCUUUGGCCCUGGGUUGACCGCAGCGGCUCAUCUCUGCUCUCCUUCCCCGACCAGGGUCUCCAGAGCGACCUGCCCCUCACGCCAGAGCAGCUGGAGGCUGUGUUUGAAAGUCUGGACCAGGCUCACACUGGCUUCCUCACCGCCAGGGAGUUCUGCCUGGGCCUGGGUGAGCCUGUGGCCUGCCUAUCCCCCACUGCCCAGAGCUGGAGGCCUGAUCAGGAGGCCUGGCACUUGUGGCGCCCUGAGGGCUGCCGGUGCCUCUCGUCCUCCUCCCUCCAGGGCCCGUGCUUUGUCUGCACGCACUCGUGCAUGGGGGCUCCUAGCUGCGGUGGAGUGUGUGGAGCUGACCUUCCUGGCCCCCAGCUCCUCUCCUGUGCUAAGCUCCGGGAUGUUUGUGGGGGUGGCGUCAGCCCAGGGAGCGAACCCCUGCAGGACUCCCGAGGAGACCUUUGAGUCGGGCGGGCUCGACGUGCAGGGCACGGCGGGCUCUCUGGAUGAGGAGGAGGAAGAGGAGGAGCGAUUCCACACUGUGCUGGAGCAGCUGGGGGUGGCCCCGGUCCUGGGCGAGUGAGUCGGCGCUGG
RNAcentral lists this small RNA (913 nucleotides) under Pan troglodytes (chimpanzee). RNAcentral describes it as "retained intron". Lineage: Eukaryota; Metazoa; Chordata; Mammalia; Primates; Hominidae. The record is from RNAcentral.